This 3264-nucleotide long non-coding RNA is filed under the name Sorghum bicolor (sorghum). RNAcentral describes it as "long non-coding RNA (SBIC_LNC004924)". Lineage: Eukaryota; Viridiplantae; Streptophyta; Magnoliopsida; Poales; Poaceae. The record is from RNAcentral.
CACUUGAGUAGAUCUCUAUAAAUGCUGUCAUGCUACCUUUGUCUAUUUACUAGUAAGUGUUAGUUUGGAAGUACUGCACAUACUUCUAUUGGCUUUUAAAUUAAGCAUGGUGCUUAGGUUAAAUAGCUUUCCUUAAUCUGAUUAGACAUGGAGUCUAGUUCGGUUAUUGAACUAAAAAACUGCUUGUGUAGACAUUGGUAUAUUUUUGUCGGACUAACCCCUGCAGAGAAACUUUCAAUAUCGAUUUGGGAAGUCCUGAGGUAAACUCACAUCAGAGACGAAGAGAGUGACACAUCAAGUUUAACAAUUUGCACAAGAAGGACAUAGCUCAUUCAUCAUAGAGAGAUGAUCCAUGGAGGGUGCCACAAACACGAUGCACAACCACUAAGAAAGGAAAGCUUCCACAAGGUGAUACUACACCAUCACUCUUCAAGUAAGGUAACAUCUUAAGGUACUUGACUAUCACUUUUAUAAGCUCCUCCUUGGUUCUAGCGUUCAUAUAAAUAAAAGAGACAAACAUGUAUGAUUUACAACUCUAGAUUAACCAACCCAACGGAUUCAACAUGUUUAGUCCUUUAAUCCUUGUUCUUAGUACUACCUCCAUGAUCCCACACUCCUAAUCAUAUGAGCUAAAAUGUUACACAUUCAAUCUUUGACGGAUAUAAAGAAAAAGACAUAUACAUACAUAGAUUAUCUUUCCAUAAGGUUGAGCGAUCUGAUCUGACAAAUGUUAUAAGUGCUACACUCAUGAACUUUUCAUCCAUCAACUUUGUCUUGCUCACUAUGCUUAGGGUUAGAGAAGAACAAAUACACUUUAGGUUCUGUUGGUGUUUUCCACCAACAGGACCCAUGCACUUGAUCUCUGCCUUGUCUCUAUGAGCAGGUACACUUUGAGCAAAACACAGAGGAGUUUUAUAACUCUCAGACUCUACCAAGUGAAGGACCUGGAUCUACGAGCACAAACACACUGAGCAGGUUACUGCCAACGCCGCACUCCGAACUACUAGGCAAACGAAGAACAUGGGUGACACCGUAUCAAGAGGCGCAGACGUCAAGGUCCGCACCUGAAUCAAAUGACGCACCUGAAGAAUGAACACGAAUUUAAGAAUCAAGUAGACUAGCAGACGGAGGACAUUCUAAUCGCUGUCAGAAUGCUGCUGACUUUCAAAUACACCUCUGCCACCUGCUAGCUACAUCAAGAGAAAUUACGUCAAAAUUCAGCUUGGGGAGAGCACCCCCAUUUAUCUCGCUAAGUAUUUCUACCUAUCUUUAUACUUAUAUUAUAUUAGAAUAUUAAAAUACAUAAACUAUGAAAAACCAAAUAAAGAUUUUGUGCUUAUAUAUAUAUCUUUUGCUUAGUAUGUUUAAUAAAUAAAUAAAGUGGCUAUGCUAAUCUGAAUCUUAAUAAUAAAACUCUAGCAUGGAUAUGAUGAAUAGUUGCUCUGCCUAAUUUGCAAAUUUGAAGUUCUCUCUCAAGUUUAGACAUAACUGUUAUAAUUUAAAGCUUGCUCUAGAUCUAAACUUGUGGGAUGAAAACUUGAUGUGAAAUCUAAGUUGUUAACGGAUAUGAUAUGGGAAGGUUGAGCUGCUGUUUAUCUGUUCCUAGAGAUGCUAGAAUUCUGGAGAAUUUUAUCUUUGAAAAAUCUUUAAAAUAUUGCAUGAUGAGUUCCUGUAUGAUGAAAGUUUAAAUUCGUACCACAGCCAUAUAUACAUGCUUGCUAGACUUUGAGCCACACAUUUACUUUUUACUACUUAUGAGCAUUGAGUGUGGUCAAGCUGUGUAGACCCUUAGGAGCUUGUCAUGUGGCUAAAUCAAUAUUUCACUUGCACAUUCACUCAUAUAUGCUACUUCUACUCCAAAAGUACCAUCCACAUAUAUCCAUCCAUGUCCAUCUCGAGAACCACCCAAAAAUAUUCUACUCCUAAUCCGGGAGAGAAUAGCCAAAAAUAUUUCUGUUUUCCCUUGUGAAAUAAAUGCUCAAGUUAUCUUGCUACUACCACUUGCUAUAUUAUCUCAAGAGAUGAGUGCUCUGAAAAAAAGAAAAAAAGAGAAAAAAAAUAAAAAAAAAUGAGGAAAUAAAAAGGGGCAAGUGCCCGAAACCUCGAAAGGAAAGGAAAAGUGAGACGAGAGGUAAAAAUGGACAAGUGUCCGACAGUAGAAUUAGGGGUACAAGAUACCCACCUGAGAGGAAAGAAAAAGAAGAGCAUCUCAUUCUCCUCAUAAAGUUUCAAAAAGCAAGGAAGGUAUGUAUCCCCUCAAAAGAGUAAAAGUAGAAUUAGACUUUCACCAUUGUUAUCACCAUCAUCACCAUACACCAUUCAUUCGCCACACAUGCACAUCUUGAUUUGGUUUAUUGAUUUGUUUCUUUGGAUCCAUGGUUUGACUAUACAAUAAAUGUCUUGUAAGUAUGUAUACUUUAUCUCCCACCUAUGAGCUCCAGAUAUUAAAGCCUUAUUAGAGUAGGGUGAGAGAGAAGGCAAUGUCACUAUGCCUUAUACCACAAAUACCACAAAUCUUGAGAGAAGGCAUAUACCAUCACUGCCUUGGUAAGGAUCCAGAAAUACCACAAAAGAGAGAUUUAGAGAGUCAUACAAGGAAUCUCUGAGUUUUAUUUGAAAAUCUGCAAAAACUCCAGAGCUAUAGCUGAUCAAGAAUAAGAGACAUGGCACUUGGCUAGACUGUUCUAUCUUUUAACUACUCAAGACAGAAGUGACGGUUACAAGUCCCAUGGUGAAAGGUAAAGUAAGUAAGUUUUAGUUCUUGACAGUUUACUCGAACUCAGUGAUGAGAUCUUAUUUAAAAGCAUGUGUACCGUCAAAUUUUUAAGAUAUUGCAACAACUUCUGAUCCAUUGCUGAGUCUAUCCUUGCUCAGGGACGAGCAAGAGGUAAGCUUGGGGGAGUUUGUUGACGGUCCUUAAGUAUCAUUGCUGAUCCGACGGCCCAGGUUCACUUGAGGGGACUAUAUAACCAGACCCCCUGGCCCCUGGAGGAGGCACCCCUUGAUCAUUAUUCAUUAUUCAUAGACAGAGCAAAAGCUAGGGUUUAGAGAUGAGAGCUCUCCUCUCUUCUCUAAACUAGAGUAGAUCUAGAUAGUAGCAAGAUGGAGAGCGAAGGAGGAUUAGAGGAGAGGCCGGCCUGUCGGUUCUUCCUCCGGUUGUACUUCGUCAUGAUCAAGCUCUAAUCAAGCUUGCUCAUGGGAUGACUCUGGUAAUCUACUUCUAAUUCAUUAUGCAAUUACUAAUUAUGUAUGUUCUGGUUCACA